GACGUAGGGCGCGAGCGUUGUCCGGAUUUAUUGGGCGUAAAGAGCUCGUAGGCGGCUUGUCGCGUCGACUGUGAAAUCCCGAGGCUCAACUUCGGGCUUGCAGUCGAUACGGGCAGGCUAGAGUUCGGUAGGGGAGACUGGAAUUCCCGGUGUAGCGGUGAAAUGCGCAGAUAUCGGGAGGAACACCGGUGGCGAAGGCGGUUCUCUGGGCCUGUACUGACGCUGAGGAGCGAAAGCGUGGGGAGCGAACAGG
This 253-nucleotide ribosomal RNA is filed under the name uncultured bacterium. RNAcentral describes it as "partial 16S ribosomal RNA". It matches the Rfam family "Bacterial small subunit ribosomal RNA", at positions 524 to 776 of the family's 1533-position model. The record is from RNAcentral.